RNAcentral lists this small RNA (109 nucleotides) under Marmota monax (woodchuck). The record is from RNAcentral. Lineage: Eukaryota; Metazoa; Chordata; Mammalia; Rodentia; Sciuridae.
GCCAGGUGUGGUAGUGCACACCUGUAAUCCUAGCCACUGGAGAGGCUGAGGCAGGAGGAUUGCAAGUUCAAGGCCAGCCUUAGCAAAUUAGAGAAGUCCUAAGCCACUU